UACGGAGGAUGCGAGCGUUAUCCGGAUUUAUUGGGUUUAAAGGGUGCGUAGGCGGGCUUUUAAGUCAGCGGUAAAAAUUCGGGGCUCAACCCCGUCCGGCCGUUGAAACUGGGGGCCCUGAGUGGGCGAGAAGAAGGCGGAAUGCGUGGUGUAGCGGUGAAAUGCAUAGAUAUCACGCAGAACCCCGAUUGCGAAGGCAGCCUUCCGGCGCCCUACUGACGCUGAGGCACGAAAGUGCGGGGAUCGAACAGG
This 252-nucleotide ribosomal RNA is filed under the name uncultured bacterium. Its description in RNAcentral is "partial 16S ribosomal RNA". It matches the Rfam family "Bacterial small subunit ribosomal RNA", at positions 524 to 776 of the family's 1533-position model. The record is from RNAcentral.